This is a long non-coding RNA of Oncorhynchus tshawytscha (Chinook salmon), 517 nucleotides long. The record is from Ensembl. Lineage: Eukaryota; Metazoa; Chordata; Actinopteri; Salmoniformes; Salmonidae.
UGAUGUGUUCUAGGUUACGUGAUGUGUUCUAGGUUAGGUGAUGUGUUCUAGGUUAGGUGAUGUGUUCUAGGUUACGUGAUGUGUUCUAGGUUAGGUGAUGUGUUCUAGGUUAGGUGAUGUGUUCUAGGUUAGGUGGUGUGUUCUAGGUUAGGUGAUGUGUUCUAGGUUACGUGAUGUGUUCUAGGUUAGGUGAACAUGAUUCUACGUACAGUGUGAUGUGUUCUAGGUUAGGUGAUGUGUUCUAGGUUAGGUGAUGGGUUCUAGGUUAGGUGAUGUGUUCUAGGUUAUGUGAUGUGUUCUAGGUUAGGUGAACAUGUUUCUACGUACAGUGUGAUGUGUUCUAGGUUAGGUGAUGUGUUCUAGGUUAGGUGAUGGGUUCUAGGUUAGGUGAUGUGUUCUAGGUUAUGUGAUGUGUUCUAGGUUAGGUGAUGUGUUCUAGGUUAUGUGAUAUGUUCUAGGUUAGGUGAUGUGUUCUAGGUUACGUGAUGUGUUCUAGGUUAGGUGAACAUGUUUCUAC